This 82-nucleotide small RNA is filed under the name Paenibacillus sp. P22. RNAcentral describes it as "ctRNA". The record is from RNAcentral. Lineage: Bacteria; Bacillati; Bacillota; Bacilli; Caryophanales; Paenibacillaceae.
GCCUGCCGCAGAAUAACCCGCAAACCAGCAAAGGCUUAUCCGGAUCGGGCCGCAGCCCGAUCCGGAUAAGCCUUUUUGUUCG